UACAGAGGUCUCAAGCGUUGUUCGGAAUCACUGGGCGUAAAGGGUGCGUAGGUGGCGUGGUAAGUCAGAUGUGAAAGCCCGGGGCUCAACCUCGGAACUGCAUCCGAUACUGCCAUGCUGGAGCGCUGAAGGGGUGACUGGAAUUCUCGGUGUAGCAGUGAAAUGCGUGGAUAUCGAGAGGAACGCCAAAGGCGAAGGCAGGUCACUGGGCAGUUGCUGACACUGAGGCACGAAGGCCAGGGUAGCGAACGGG
Molecule: ribosomal RNA, 253 nt
Filed under: uncultured bacterium
Lineage: Bacteria
Description: partial 16S ribosomal RNA
Rfam family: Bacterial small subunit ribosomal RNA
Source: RNAcentral